This 72-nucleotide transfer RNA is filed under the name Pluvianus aegyptius (crocodile bird). RNAcentral's name for it is "tRNA-Val". The record is from RNAcentral. Lineage: Eukaryota; Metazoa; Chordata; Aves; Charadriiformes; Glareolidae.
CAAGACGUAGCUAUAACACAAAGCAUUCAGCUUACACCUGAAAGAUGUCUGCUAUUAACCAGAUCGUCUUGA